GGUGCAUUCUGAGACAUGACGCUAAAUGACGUUCGACGGUAUUUCCGGGUUUAGUUGAUGUCACCCUGAACACAACAUCUCCAGAAGGGAGUCAAGGAAGAACCAAAAAAAAAACGAGCUGAUGGAUUGACUGCUGAGGAAUGAAACAGCACACUCCAACCAUCUUUGUUUACUCAGUGGCCACAUCAACCCACACCCAGUGAGAGAUGUUUUUUUUCUGUUGCAGUAAGAGCGAUUUCACUGCAGAAUUCUAAAGUCAACCCAAGGGUCCAAAAUGAUGUCUGAGUUGUCCUCAAUGAUGAUUCCUGUGCGGAAGUUGAGCACCAGGUCCAUGAGGAAGAAAGUGUCCGAGACCACAUUGAAAAUGAUCCAGGGCGUGGUGGUCU
Phyllopteryx taeniolatus (common seadragon) is the source of this 386-nucleotide long non-coding RNA. RefSeq lists it as uncharacterized. Lineage: Eukaryota; Metazoa; Chordata; Actinopteri; Syngnathiformes; Syngnathidae. The transcript is spliced from 4 exons. The record is from RefSeq and is a predicted model, not a curated record.